This 427-nucleotide ribosomal RNA is filed under the name uncultured bacterium. Its description in RNAcentral is "bacterial SSU rRNA". It matches the Rfam family "Bacterial small subunit ribosomal RNA", at positions 354 to 796 of the family's 1533-position model. The record is from RNAcentral.
GUAGGGAAUCUUGCGCAAUGGGCGAAAGCCUGACGCAGCAACGCCGCGUGGGGGAUGAAGGCUCUCGGGUUGUAAACCCCUUUCAGCAGGGACGAAUUUUGACGGUACCUGCAGAAGAAGCCCCGGCCAACUACGUGCCAGCAGCCGCGGUAACACGUAGGGGGCGAGCGUUGUCCGGAUUUAUUGGGCGUAAAGAGCUCGUAGGCGGUUCGGUAAGUCGGGUGUGAAAACUCAGGGCUCAACCCUGAGACGCCACCCGAUACUGCUGUGACUAGAGUCCGGUAGGGGAGCGUGGAAUUCCUGGUGUAGCGGUGGAAUGCGCAGAUAUCAGGAGGAACACCAGCGGCGAAGGCGGCGCUCUGGGCCGGAACUGACGCUGAGGAGCGAAAGCGUGGGGAGCAAACAGGAUUAGAAACCCCGGUAGUCC